Molecule: ribosomal RNA, 429 nt
Filed under: Acidobacteriota bacterium
Lineage: Bacteria; Pseudomonadati; Acidobacteriota
Description: Acidobacteria bacterium partial 16S ribosomal RNA
Rfam family: Bacterial small subunit ribosomal RNA
Source: RNAcentral
UGGGGAAUAUUGCACAAUGGGCGCAAGCCUGAUGCAGCCAUGCCGCGUGUAUGAAGAAGGCCUUAGGGUUGUAAAGUACUUUCAGUCGGGAGGAAGGCGUUGAUAUUAAUACUAUCAGCGAUUGACGUUACCGACAGAAGAAGCACCGGCUAACUCCGUGCCAGCAGCCGCGGUAAUACGGGGGGUGCAAGCGUUAAUCGGAAUUACUGGGCGUAAAGCGCACGCAGGCGGUUGAUUAAGUUAGAUGUGAAAUCCCCGGGCUUAACCUGGGAAUGGCAUCUAAAACUGGUCAGCUAGAGUCUUGUAGAGGGGGGUAGAAUUCCAUGUGUAGCGGUGAAAUGCGUAGAGAUGUGGAGGAAUACCGGUGGCGAAGGCGGCCCCCUGGACAAAGACUGACGCUCAGGUGCGAAAGCGUGGGGAGCAAACAGA